This 398-nucleotide ribosomal RNA is filed under the name uncultured bacterium. RNAcentral describes it as "bacterial SSU rRNA". It matches the Rfam family "Bacterial small subunit ribosomal RNA", at positions 358 to 773 of the family's 1533-position model. The record is from RNAcentral.
GGAAUCUUGGACAGUGGGCGAAAGCCUGAUCCAGCCAUGCCGCGUGAGUGAAGAAGGCCUUAGGGUUGUAAAGCUCUUUUGGUGGGGAAGAUAAUGACGGUACCCACAGAAUAAGCCCCGGCUAACUUCGUGCCAGCAGCCGCGGUAAUACGAAGGGGGCUAGCGUUGUUCGGAAUUACUGGGCGUAAAGCGCACGCAGGCGGAUUGAUUAGUCAGAGGUGAAAUCCCAGGGCUUAACCUUGGAAUUGCCUUUGAUACUGUCAGUCUUGAGUCCGGGAGAGGUGAGUGGAAUUCCUAGUGUAGAGGUGAAAUUCGUAGAUAUUAGGAAGAACACCAGUGGCGAAGGCGGCUCACUGGCCCGGUACUGACGCUCAGGUGCGAAAGCGUGGGGAGCAAAC